Molecule: ribosomal RNA, 490 nt
Filed under: uncultured bacterium
Lineage: Bacteria
Description: SSU rRNA
Rfam family: Bacterial small subunit ribosomal RNA
Source: RNAcentral
AGGACGAACGCUGGCGGCGUGCUUAACACAUGCAAGUCGAACGAGGUCCAAUCAUUCGCAAGAAUGAGGAAUACCGAGUGGCGAACGGGUGCGUAACACGUGAGAAACCUAUCCCAGUCUCUGGAAUAACAGGUGGAAACACCUGCUAAUACCGGAUGCCGUUGGAUCAUCACAUGGUGAACCAACGAAAGAUUUAUCGGAGUGGGAGGGUCUCGCGGCCUAUCAGCUUGUUGGCGGGGUAACGGCCCACCAAGGCUUCGACGGGUAGCUGGUCUGAGAGGAUGAUCAGCCACACUGGGACUGAGACACGGCCCAGACUCCUACGGGAGGCAGCAGUGGGGAAUCUUGCACAAUGGGCGCAAGCCUGAUGCAGCAACGCCGCGUGCGGGAAGAAGGCCCUAGGGUUGUAAACCGCUUUCAGCAGGGAAGAAAUGACGGUACCUGUAGAGAAGGUGCGGCCAACUACGUGCCAGCAGCCGCGGUAAUCUGA